Molecule: transfer RNA, 65 nt
Filed under: Figites sp. ZJUH 20220009
Lineage: Eukaryota; Metazoa; Arthropoda; Insecta; Hymenoptera; Figitidae
Description: tRNA-Ser
Source: RNAcentral
GAAAUAAUAAAGUUUUAUUAAGCUUCUAACUUAAUUAUUAAAUAAUUAAUUUUAUUUUUAUUUCU